This 65-nucleotide transfer RNA is filed under the name Neohydnus sinensis. RNAcentral's name for it is "tRNA-Arg". The record is from RNAcentral. Lineage: Eukaryota; Metazoa; Arthropoda; Insecta; Coleoptera; Cleridae.
UAGUAAAAAGCAAAAUUUGCAUUUAAUUUCGACUUAAAAGUUUGAUAUUUAUUUAUCUUUACUUU